This 508-nucleotide ribosomal RNA is filed under the name uncultured bacterium. Its description in RNAcentral is "partial 16S ribosomal RNA". It matches the Rfam family "Bacterial small subunit ribosomal RNA", at positions 28 to 523 of the family's 1533-position model. The record is from RNAcentral.
GAUGAACGCUAGCUACAGGCUUAACACAUGCAAGUCGAGGGGAAACGAUAGGGAAAGCUUGCUUUUUCUAGGCGUCGACCGGCGCACGGGUGAGUAACGCGUAUCCAACCUGCCCAUCACUUGGGGAUAACCUUGCGAAAGUAAGACUAAUACCCAAUGACGUCUCUAGAAGACAUCUGAAGGAGAUUAAAGAUUUAUCGGUGAUGGAUGGGGAUGCGUCUGAUUAGCUUGUUGGCGGGGUAACGGCCCACCAAGGCGACGAUCAGUAGGGGUUCUGAGAGGAAGGUCACCCACAUUGGAACGGGGACACGGUCCAAACUCCUACGGGAGGCAGCAGUGAGGAAUAUUGGUCAAUGGACGAGAGUCUGAACCAGCCAAGUAGCGUGCAGGAAGACGGCCCUAUGGGUUGUAAACUGCUUUUAUAAGGGAAUAAAGUGAGUCUCGUGAGACUUUUUGCAUGUACCUUAUGAAUAAGGACCGGCUAAUUCCGUGCCAGCCGCCGCCGUAA